GACGAACCGAGCGAACGUUAUUCGGAAUCACUGGGCUUAAAGGGCGCGUAGGCGGGCGAUCAAGUCAGGGGUGAAAGCCCCCAGCUCAACUGGGGAAGUGCCUCUGAUACUGGUCGCCUCGAGGGAGGUAGGGGCGUGCGGAACUUCCGGUGGAGCGGUGAAAUGCGUAGAUAUCGGAAGGAACAUCGGUGGCGAAAGCGGCGCGCUGGACCUCUUCUGACGCUGAGGCGCGAAAGCCAGGGGAGCGAACGGG
This 253-nucleotide ribosomal RNA is filed under the name uncultured bacterium. Its description in RNAcentral is "partial 16S ribosomal RNA". It matches the Rfam family "Bacterial small subunit ribosomal RNA", at positions 524 to 776 of the family's 1533-position model. The record is from RNAcentral.